RNAcentral lists this non-coding RNA (28 nucleotides) under Homo sapiens (human). The record is from RNAcentral. Lineage: Eukaryota; Metazoa; Chordata; Mammalia; Primates; Hominidae.
UUCGAAGAAACGGUGGACCGAGGCUCUC